GUCGUGAGAUGUUGGGUUAAGUCCCGCAACGAGCGCAACCCUUGUCCUAUGUUGCCAGCGGGUAAUGCCGGGGACUCGUAGGAGACUGCCGGGGUCAACUCGGAGGAAGGUGGGGACGACGUCAAGUCAUCAUGCCCCUUAAGCCCAGGGCUGCAAACAUGCUACAAUGGCCAGUACAAAGGGCUGCUAUACCGCGAGGUUGAGCGAAUCCCAUAAAGCUGGUCUCAGUUCGGAUUGGAGUCUGCAACUCGACUCCAUGAAGCCGGAGUCGCUAGUAAUCCCGGAUCAGCAACGCCGGGGUGAAUACGUUCCCGGGCCUUGUACACACCGCCCGUCACACCACGAAAGUCGGCAACGCCCGAAGCCAGUGGCCUAACCCUUUGGGGAAGGAGCUGUCGAAGGUGGGGUCGGCGAUUGGGGUGAAGUCGUAACAAGGUAGCCGUACCGGAAGGUGCGGCUGGAUCACCUCCUUUCUAAGGAGAUCACCUCCAUCCGGAGGAGAACUCCCAGUUGAUGCACUCGCUAUUAGGUGUCCGAUGUGCUCGAGACGGUCGUAGGUUCGCCUCCCGACUCGUGCCCCCGGUUCUGUCGUCCUCUGUUCCGCUUUGAAGGAGCGCCCCGACGUCCCUCGCAUUCGUGCGAGGGCGCCGUCGCGUCUGACGCCCCUUGAGAACUGCAUAGCGAGCACGAGCAUCUUUGUUCUUCCAAGCUACAAAGAGCCAACGGUGGAUGCCUUGGCGUCUACUACCGAUGAAGGACGUGUCUGGCUGCGAAAUGCCACGGGGAGCUGCCGAGAAAGCUUUGAUCCGUGGAUGU
Molecule: small RNA, 816 nt
Filed under: uncultured Sphingomonadaceae bacterium
Lineage: Bacteria; Pseudomonadati; Pseudomonadota; Alphaproteobacteria; Sphingomonadales; Sphingomonadaceae
Description: bacterial SSU rRNA
Rfam family: Bacterial small subunit ribosomal RNA (bases 1-473)
Source: RNAcentral